Molecule: ribosomal RNA, 651 nt
Filed under: Sphingomonas sp. M72C2
Lineage: Bacteria; Pseudomonadati; Pseudomonadota; Alphaproteobacteria; Sphingomonadales; Sphingomonadaceae
Description: bacterial SSU rRNA
Rfam family: Bacterial small subunit ribosomal RNA
Source: RNAcentral
AUGCAAGUCGAACGAGUGUCCUUCGGGAUGCUAGUGGCGCACGGGUGCGUAACGCGUGGGAAUCUGCCCUGGGGUUUGGGAUAACCGUUGGAAACGACGGCUAAUACCGAAUGACGUCGAUAAGACCAAAGAUUUAUCGCCCUGGGAUGAGCCCGCGUAGGAUUAGGUAGUUGGUGGGGUAAAGGCCUACCAAGCCGACGAUCCUUAGCUGGUCUGAGAGGAUGAUCAGCCACACUGGGACUGAGACACGGCCCAGACUCCUACGGGAGGCAGCAGUGGGGAAUAUUGGACAAUGGGCGCAAGCCUGAUCCAGCAAUGCCGCGUGAGUGAUGAAGGCCUUAGGGUUGUAAAGCUCUUUUACCCGGGAUGAUAAUGACAGUACCGGGAGAAUAAGCCCCGGCUAACUCCGUGCCAGCAGCCGCGGUAAUACGGAGGGGGCUAGCGUUGUUCGGAAUUACUGGGCGUAAAGCGCACGUAGGCGGCCGUUUAAGUUAGAGGUGAAAGCCCGGGGCUCAACCCCGGAAUUGCCUUUGAUACUGGACGGCUUGAAUCCGGGAGAGGUGAGUGGAAUUCCGAGUGUAGAGGUGAAAUUCGUAGAUAUUCGGAAGAACACCAGUGGCGAAGGCGGCUCACUGGACCGGCAUUGACGCU